RNAcentral lists this ribosomal RNA (496 nucleotides) under uncultured bacterium. Its description in RNAcentral is "partial 16S ribosomal RNA". It matches the Rfam family "Bacterial small subunit ribosomal RNA", at positions 28 to 506 of the family's 1533-position model. The record is from RNAcentral.
GAUGAACGCUGGCGGCGUGCCUAAUACAUGCAAGUCGAGCGAACAGACGAGGAGCUUGCUCCUCUGACGUUAGCGGCGGACGGGUGAGUAACACGUGGAUAACCUACCUAUAAGACUGGGAUAACUUCGGGAAACCGGAGCUAAUACCGGAUAAUAUAUUGAACCGCAUGGUUCAAUAGUGAAAGACGGUUUUGCUGUCACUUAUAGAUGGAUCCGCGCCGCAUUAGCUAGUUGGUAAGGUAACGGCUUACCAAGGCAACGAUGCGUAGCCGACCUGAGAGGGUGAUCGGCCACACUGGAACUGAGACACGGUCCAGACUCCUACGGGAGGCAGCAGUAGGGAAUCUUCCGCAAGGGGCGAAAGCCUGACGGAGCAACGCCGCGUGAGUGAUGAAGGUCUUCGGAUCGUAAAACUCUGUUAUUAGGGAAGAACAAAUGUGUAAGUAACUAUGCACGUCUUGACGGUACCGAAUCAGAAAGCCACGGCUAACUACGU